Molecule: long non-coding RNA, 636 nt
Filed under: Nicotiana benthamiana
Lineage: Eukaryota; Viridiplantae; Streptophyta; Magnoliopsida; Solanales; Solanaceae
Description: long non-coding RNA (NBEN_LNC037169)
Source: RNAcentral
GAAUGCAUUCAUUCCCCGUCCUUUUCCACUUUCCACCCCAAUAGUUAUUACAAAAAUUAUUACAGACCGAAUGAGUCAGAAAGAAAGAAAAAGUAAAAAUUACAUCAGAAGCUCCAACUACAUCCAAAUAGGCUAAUUCAGACUCAAAGUCCAACAAUAUGAGAUAAACCAACUUCUAGGAUCAGAUAUCCAAAAGACCUUCUCAUAUUUGGAGUGUGUCAAAGUUCCCAAGAGUCUCAGAGGGACUCUGUGCAUUGGUUACACCCCAAAACAUUUCAGAAUCAAUAAUGUAGUGUAGUAUGGAAAAGCCAGCUUUCAGAUGUCCAAGUUCAAAGGGAACUCCAGGUCCUAAAGCAAGGCUCAAAAGAGAGGGGCAGAGCUUAAGUUUCUAGGAAUAGGUGUAGGUGCACAAAGGGGAAGAGAAUCAAGGAAAGACAUGGCAAGCUAGUGGUCAUACCCAGCAAUUGGGAUACUGGCACACCCCUGAAUAGCCUGCUAGUCAAGCAUUGAUAGUUAGGAUCCAUUGUGGAUCAAGCCAAGGCCUGGGCAGUAAUUAGGAUACUGUCAAGCCAAGAGAUUAAGUCAACUCAUUGAAGGGGAUGGGGGUAGAGGAUUCAUAAUAGAAACAGAAGCAAA